Molecule: long non-coding RNA, 268 nt
Organism: Mandrillus leucophaeus (drill)
Lineage: Eukaryota; Metazoa; Chordata; Mammalia; Primates; Cercopithecidae
Exons: 2
Source: RefSeq, a predicted model, not a curated record
GACUCAACUGAAAGUUACUUAAGGCCAAUGGGGACCCUGUGCAGCUAUAUACCCAGUGUCCCAAGCACUGUGUCUGGCACAUUAAUAAACACGUUUCAUAGGUUCUGUCAGGUGAGCUGUUGUGCUGUAUUUCUGACCUGAAUUGCCUUUUAGGAGGGAAUCAGUACUUGGAAGCUGGAAUACAUCAGGGAUACCCCUGAAACGAGAGACUAUUUUUUUUUUUCCAUUGGAUUCUGACAUAAAUAAAUUUUGCUCACUUUGACAGUCA